This is a long non-coding RNA of Capsicum annuum, 5243 nucleotides long. RefSeq lists it as uncharacterized. The transcript is spliced from 2 exons. Lineage: Eukaryota; Viridiplantae; Streptophyta; Magnoliopsida; Solanales; Solanaceae. The record is from RefSeq and is a predicted model, not a curated record.
UCUCUUUCAAAAUUUGAGAUCUCUGUCCAGAUCUUUUUCUUUUCAAUUUGGAUAUCAUUUCCAAGUCUGAGACGUAAGUUGUUGAUUAGAUACUGAAUCACUUGUGCUGAUCUACCUUUAAUUCCUUAAAAUAUAAUAAUAAUUAUUAUUAUCAAAUGCUUAAUCCAGAUUAGUGAUUUUUGUUGAAUUGGGUUCUGGAGAUAUUCAAUGGCUGAACAAUCGUCGAUUGUUAGUGUUUUUGGGUUCACCAAGUGACUGUUGUUGCUAGAUUUCAUGAUCUGUGUGGUAUUCCCGAUCCAAACUUGCAAAACUCAACAGUUUCAAGGAUGUGAUAGCGGAUCGAAUAUGGUUGGGGAUAGCGGAUCGAAUAUGUUUGGUUUAAGGAAUGAGGGGGUAGCCAAGGAUGGAUGGAUUAUUAGUAGCAUGUUUUACAGAUAGGAAACAAAUUAAAACGGAGAAGGGGUAUAUAUACCGCCGAACUAACGAAAAUGAUAUGUAAAUACCCUCCGUUAUAUUAUUGGGUUAUAAAUAUCCCUGCAGUCUAGCUUUUGGUUCGUAUAUACCCUUAAGUUAGACGACAAGAAACGUAUCAUCAUCUCAACGAAUUAACCCAAUUUCCCUGGAUUUAAUAACCCUUAAUAACCCGCCUGAUACCUGACGCACUACCCAACCCAAUGAACUGGGUGAAUUCCAUUGUUGGCCUUGCCGGAAUGGCUGGAACUGCUACGCCUUGAACCACUCAGCCAUCUCUCCUACAUAAUGGUUAUGGCCCCAAAAUCAAGUGAAUAGCAAGUCAGUCCAGUGUUUUGGACGGCGAAAGGCAACAAGGCCCUGCCUCAUCACGCGGCGAGGCGAGCGGCGAAGUGAUCACCUUUUGAAAGUGUGGCGACAAUUAAUACAAAAAUUUAAAAUAAUUAAUUGCAUAUGGAAAUGAUCAAAAUUUCAAUAGCACUAAUAUAUUAGGAAAUAUUUCAAGUCAAAAAUUAAAAAUAGAUAGUAGAUAGAUACUAAAAGUCUAGAACUUGAAUGACUCAACAACAAUUACGAUAUUAAUUAGUAUAUUAAAUAAGUUAUACAAAAAAUAGAUUUUUUUACAUACUGUUUACUGUUAAAGACUUACAGUAAUAGUGUAAUACAGUGUGCGGAAAAAAGAAGAGAAAAAGAGGAAGAAAUAGAAGAAGAAAAACAGAGGAAGAAGAGAAAAAGAGGAAAAAAAAAAAAGAAGAAUAAGAAAAAGACUACCAGUUGAUUCGCGGAGUAAGAAGAAGAAGAAAGAAGAAAAAAAAUAAGAGAAAUCAGUACUUACCUGUUGCUGAAGAAGCCGCUGCCGGUGCUGGAAUCAUAGUCGCACUUGUGACUUGCCUUAGGUUGCAGUCGCAAAUCGCAAAUCGCAAAACAUGUAAGACAGUCAAACCAAAAUAGGAAAAUAAUCCCUAAAAUUAUCUUUUAUCUCUAAAACCCUAAUUUUUUUAAAAAAUAAAAAGGCAACGCCAUUGUCGCCUCGCCGCACCAUGUCGCCAACCUCACCUUGGCGUCGCCUUUUGCAGGUCUCAGCGCCACGAAGGCAGGUGGCGAAUAUGCCUUGGUUCGCCAUUCGCUAUUGGCGACGUGGCGAGCACCAUUGAUAACACUGUGUCAGUAAUAACCCAUAUUUCAUUAUUGGACUAGGUACGACCAAUCCAUUUUAACUUCAACUGAAAAUUUUUCAUCAAAGUCGCAACAAACAAUGAUUUUUUUUUCCUUCGAGGCACCGGGAUGAAGAUACAAUUUUUCGUAAAAAUUGUUAAAAAAAUUCAAUUCAUUUUUGCACAAGUAACGUUUCCAUCUUUUUCUGAUAUUUGUGUAACGGUUAAUUCAAUGAAUUAGAACGAAUCAACUGGUUGUCGGUCUAUAUCUUUUAAACUAUAGUUAAUGGCUACUCAUCCAGCUCGAGCAAGAAUAAAAAGAACCAAGCUACCGGAAUAGGUCAACUGACUAACGGACCUCAUUUUACUCAUUGUACUCCAUGAAUUUACAGAGCACCAACGUAGAUGAAGAUGGACUCGGUUAUCUACCAGUGCUGGUACUACUACAAAUCUUCUCUAUGUUGCCAAAUAAUAAAGGAAUUUUCAGAACCUGUGGAUUAUCAUCUACAUGGAGCUUUCUUUGGAAAUCCCUUCCACUAUCACUCACUUUCCACUUCCUAAACUAUCCCCCCGAUUACAACAUCAACAAAAAACUCCUCUCUUAUGUUACUUCAACCAAUAGACAGCUUCAUCAUAUCCGUUCUUGCAAGAAAAUCCAAGCAUUGAGUUUUUUCCCUUAUAAAUACAAGGAUUAUCUUGAACAAGACUUGAAUUUCUGGGUUGACUUUGCUACUAACAUUGUGAAUGUGGAAUAGCUUACGUUGAAAUUUUGUUGGAUUAAUUACCCAGAUUUUGCUUCUGUGAAAUUCUUUUGGGUCAUUACUGCAAUGGAAUUCCAGCUUAGUUGAAGUGCUUGUAUUAGAAGUGGUCAAAAUGAAUUUGAAGAAAUAACUUUGAAUAUUUGAAGCUUCAUUUGGUUGGGUCAUAUUAUGAGUUAUUUUGGGUAUUGGCUGGGGCAAAAAUAAUAUUGGUUUUUUAAAUUAAUCUCACAGCUCCACGUGUCUAUUUUAAGUCUGGGAUCGAGACAUUUAAUAGAUGAAGGAUGUAUACUUCCCAAAAGUUAGACGGCAGGGGUAUUUAUAACCCAAUAGUAUAACGGAGGGUAUUUACAUACCAUUUUCGAUAGUUCAGGGGUAUAUAUGUCCCUUCUCCGAAGUUAAAAUGAAAAAGAACAACGAGAAAGAUGGGAAUAAUACACCGCUUUUUGCACUUGUAAAUGCACAGUACAUAACCCAACACAUCAAACAUGCCCAAAUAGUUUAUGAACCUCCUUUAAUUAUAUAUAAAUUGAUUGGAUAGGCACAGUCUAGCCUCAUCUCGAUGGUCAUGUACAAAGUUUGGUAUAUCAAUGCAAAUAUGCAACUUUUUUGCUCACAAAUGAUCAAUAGAGACGACCUCUUUAAAAAAUAAAAUACAUUGUACUCCCUUGAUCCUUGUAACAAACAAGAGAGUGAGUGGGAUUGUAUAGCGGUAGUGAACUUUGGUGAUCGAUGAAACUUCUGUAAGCCACUUACAAUUGUAGUUAGUAUGGAUCUUAGGAAGAUUGCGAUUUCUCAUGGUUAGCUGCUAGAGGAGUGAUUUUGGCAGCGGAGAACCUUAGGAAAAGAAAGCUCAUAUGCAUUAGCUGGUGUUUCUUAUGAAAGGAGACGGGUGAAGAUGUUGAUCAUCUUCUACUACAUUGCAACCUGACCUCUGGUCGGAUAUGUUUAGCUGGUUUGGUAUGUCUUGGGUGAUGCCUAGAUCUGUGAAGGAUACAUGGUCUUGGUAGAAUUCUAGAAGAAGCAGGAGAAAGUGCAGAUCUUGGAAUGUUGUCCCUUUAGCUUUGAUGUGGAUCGUUUCGACAGAGAGAAACAGGAUGGCUUUGAAGGGGUAGAAAUGACUUUUGGGCAGUUUGGAGUAGUCUCCGGCCCCUUAUUUAUGUUUGGUGACCCAUGUAGUGCCGAUUGUUUAGAGGAUUGGGUGUCUUUUGUAGAGAACCAUGUUGUGUUGUAGGUUCUUUACUUUUUGGUAUACUUUUAUACGGCCGAUUUUGACCCUGUGAUUAAUGAAACUGUUUGCAUGAUCAAAAAAAAAAAAAGUAAAGACUGCGAUGUCCCACCACCUCCCAUAUUUGCCACUCUUUUGUUUGCAGUUUUUCAUUCUGAAAUAUUCAUGUUUUUAUUUUAUACCAUUAAGCUAAUAUUGCUCCUAGGGUUUUGGUCUAAUGUAGGGGGCGACGGAUGUAGUGUGUGGCUUGUGAGUUAAUCCUUGCCCUGUAGCUUUGGUUUGGACUCUGUGUUAAAAAAUCUACAAAAUAAGUACAACUGAUUGAUUUUGAAUUCAGUAAAUCAAAUGAAAUGUGAUAGAACCUCAAGCUAGAACCAUAAUGUUUAAAUCUUGGAUCUGCCUUUGGUUUAGUGGUAAGGGCGCAACAUAUGACGUGGGGGUUAGCUGCAUGUCACGGAACUCGAACCUUGUCACAGACAAAAACUUGGUAUUUAAGUGGAGGAGGAAGGUAGAGGAGCGGUUUCAUUUGUUAUCUACCGAGUUUUGUACCGAACACCACAUACUUCGAGAAUUUCUCAGUUAAUAAAAAGGAGAAAUUUUAGUUUAUUGGGGCAUUCUGGAUUCAUAUACAUUUGUGGUAUAACAGGUUAACACCCCCUAGGGUAUUUUCCUCCAAUAAAAUUUGUUUUUCCUUAAAAAAAAAGAAAAAGAAAAGAAAACUGCUUAUAUGCAAAAAAGAAAAGAAAAGGAAACUACUAUAUGCUUUUGCCUUGUAGUCUAUGGUUUUUCUUUGAGAAAGUAACAACUUGUAUUCUAUUUCCGAAAAAUCAGAAACCAGCCACUUAAUAUUACAGGUUUCCUAAAUACAAAUGUGGUAAGAGUAUUAGGAAGAUCUUCAACCAUAUAACAAAAUUACACAGUCUUAAGACAUUCAUUACUGAUUCUAGAUCUUCCAUAUACUCCUGCUUGCACCAAAAAUGAAGCAAAACUAAACAAUUCAUGGCGUCGGAAUAUUGUUGCUCUUAUUCUUGAAGCAUCUCUUCUCGCCAUACAGACCACCACAUGCAUGCAGUUCAAACCCUUCAUAUUAAUGAGGAUUUCCCGCAAAAGAUUGCUGAUCUUGCAGUGUAGGAAUAGGUGGGUUACUGUCUCAACCUUUUCUUCUCAUAGAAUCUAUGUUCUAUGUUGUAACAACUUAUUACGUUAUGACCCAAUCAUUUGGCACUGAAGCUUACAGUUUCCUAGUUUCCAUUUGCUAAAAUUUUCUUUAGCAAGUUAACAUAAGAUGAUCAAAUUCAUUCACAGAGAAGAUAUGAAUAGUAUUCUAUAUUGUGUGUUAAACUGAGUUAUUAUGUCAAUUACUCAAUUAGUUAGUAGUUGCAAAAUUAUUUUCCAAAACAAAAAAACUACUCUGCUGGCUCUAUCAGUGUUAUUAAACCGAAAAAGUGAUAUUACUCGAUGAGAUUGUUCAACGCUUUUCUAGUUAAUGGAGUUGCUAGGGAGAGAGGAAGGUUAUUGGGUAAUACCUACGGAUGUCAUAUAAUUAAUUUGCUUAUCUGACUUUAUACAUUCUUCACCAUAUCUUUGCAGCCAUGGGAUUUUUUGAGGAAGACAUUUAUUGAGAAGCAGGAA